UGGCAAUUUCUCCUAGGCCUCAUGGAGUCUUGACCUAUACACGUGCAGAUCAGCUUUUGGCAAAUGAUGUUGAGCAGCAAGUCCCCAGACAGACUUCUGUGACUGCCAUCCUCUCUAAAGACCCGCCUUGCAAAUUCCAGCUGCCUCAGCAUACUCAAACUCUAAUCCCUGCCUCCUCAGCCAGCCCAGUGAGACUGAGCUCUGCAGAGGCUCCACUUCCAUGUGCCAGGGCAGAAAACUGUUCCCAGACAGAAGCAAGGGCUUACCUCAUGUAUAUAUCUUCCUUUUAGAUGUUCAAAAAAUACCAUCUCAGAGAAAAACUUGUCUCUCUUCCCAGGGCCGUCCUGUCCUAAAGAGCCGGAACAGCUGCGGAAGCUCUUCAUGGGAGGGCUGAGCUUUGAAACAACCGAUGAGAGCCUGAGGAGCCCUUCUGAGCAGUGGAGAAGGCUCACAGAUUGUGUGGACUCCAAGUGAAGGUGAAAGAGACCAGACGAGACCUUUCCUAAUUCCAUUCAUCUCUGAGGGAUUUAUAAGGAAGUUACCAACCCCUGGUCUAAAUAAUCAAACAGAGAAAAGAAGAAAAGGAAAAAAGGAUCAGAGGACACAGAAGAAUUUCUGGACACACUUCCAUCUGCUAAUUAAAUGGAAGGAGCAAGUUUGGGUUUUUUUGUUUUUCCUCUACCUCAAUCAAAGACUAUGAAUCUUUCUUUUAAUCUCUGGAGCUAACUUCUCUAAUUAGUUUCCUAGAGGAAGAGGAUGCUUUACUAUUGGCAUUUCACACUCUGCACAAUGGUAUGAACUUGACAUACCUCAGCUGAUCCAGCAGAAAGAGCUCUAAAACUCAAAAGUUAUGUCAUCAGUAACUGUCAAUAGAUAGAAGUGUUCGCAGGUACUACUAGUUCCAAUACUCAUUGACUUUGUAACAACUGGUAUAUUAGCUACAAUCAAACAAAAUGAGGUAUUCUUUACAAGAAUUACAUAAGCCCUUUCCAAUAAAUUUUCUGUAACGAUGGAAA
RNAcentral lists this long non-coding RNA (1016 nucleotides) under Homo sapiens (human). RNAcentral's name for it is "HSALNT0321476". The record is from RNAcentral. Lineage: Eukaryota; Metazoa; Chordata; Mammalia; Primates; Hominidae.